This 465-nucleotide long non-coding RNA is filed under the name Gouania willdenowi (blunt-snouted clingfish). RNAcentral describes it as "lncRNA (ENSGWIG00000016268.1)". The record is from RNAcentral. Lineage: Eukaryota; Metazoa; Chordata; Actinopteri; Blenniiformes; Gobiesocidae.
GUUCAGUGUCUGAAGGCAGCAGAGACGCUGGUGGUCGUCUCCUCUCUUAUUGGACUGUUCUCCAUUAUUCUGAUCAUUUGUAGGCGGUCUUUGGGUGAUUUCUGCACAGAGGACAUCAGAGUGAAGGUGGCAGAGCUACGAUGAUUCCUGGAAUGGAUUUUGGUUUUCUUCUGCCUUCGGGAUUAUUGUUCAUUUGAAAAAAAAUAUUUUUGUUUUGAGAGAAUGGAGGGAAAUGUGACGCCUUUGCCUCAAAUGUGCAGUGACUGUGGGGUGGGUCAGUGGAACAGAUGGAGACAGACACAGGAUUACAACAGAAGUUCUUCAGAGGCAUCUGGCCCUGUGUCAUCAUGCUACACUAAACAGGACGAGCAUAGGCUGAGUUCUGCUCCACAAAGUGUUUGUUUCAGCGGAGCCGGACCUUCACAGUAAUGGACUGUCCAGCCUCUGAACCAACAUCCUCUUCUA